UAUAAUAUCUGAUGCGUUCCAAAGACAGCAGGUGGCGCAAGCCGUAAGUCCUGCCGAGGAUGGCAAAUCGAUUUUGAUUGCUUACACCGUCCUUGUGUCCUUGGAUACAGGGACGGUUUCCUUUUUUUGAA
Non-coding RNA from Firmicutes bacterium CAG:83, 131 nucleotides. The record is from Rfam. Lineage: Bacteria; Bacillati; Bacillota.